GCGAUUGUAGUUUAAUGGUAGAACGUCCGGUUGUGGUCCGGGAAACGAGGGUUCGAUUCCCUUCUUUCGCU
This 71-nucleotide transfer RNA is filed under the name archaeon. RNAcentral describes it as "tRNA-His". It matches the Rfam family "tRNA". From Rfam's summary of the family: Transfer RNA (tRNA) molecules are approximately 80 nucleotides in length. Their secondary structure includes four short double-helical elements and three loops (D, anti-codon, and T loops). The record is from RNAcentral.